GUGGGGAAUUGUUCGCAAUGGGCGCAAGCCUGACGACGCAACGCCGCGUGGAGGAUGAAGGUCUUCGGAUUGUAAACUCCUGUUGACCGGGACGAACUCCUCCGAGGUGAAUAUCCUUGGAGGCUGACGGUACCGGUUGAGGAAGCCCCGGCUAACUCUGUGCCAGCAGCCGCGGUAAUACAGAGGGGGCAAGCGUUGUUCGGAAUUACUGGGCGUAAAGGGCGCGUAGGCGGCCGGCUAAGUCAGACGUGAAAUCCCCAGGCUCAACCUGGGAACUGCGUCUGAUACUGACUGGCUCGAGUCCGGGAGAGGGAAGCGGAAUUCCAGGUGUAGCGGUGAAAUGCGUAGAUAUCUGGAGGAACAUCGGUGGCGAAGGCGGCUUCCUGGACCGGCACUGACGCUGAGGCGCGAAAGCCAGGGGAGCAAACGGGAUUAGAAACCCUUGUAGUCC
RNAcentral lists this ribosomal RNA (451 nucleotides) under uncultured bacterium. Its description in RNAcentral is "bacterial SSU rRNA". It matches the Rfam family "Bacterial small subunit ribosomal RNA", at positions 354 to 796 of the family's 1533-position model. The record is from RNAcentral.